AUACAAUGUGGCCUAUUGAUGGCGUACACACGGGGGGUGGACAAAAUAAUGGAGGCGCCUAUUAAUGUAACAAUUACAGUUCAGAUCAGUGAUCAUGCUGCAGAUGUCUUCUCUGCUGUGACUGACAACAGUUUCCCAAAAGCCUCUGUAAUGAACUGUUACGGCCUCCCUAAACAAACAAUGGCUCAACUGGAGACCGGAACAUACUACAGAGGACACCAAGACAAUGGAAGUGCCAUAAGAAAUAAUGAGGUCUUAUUUUUUAAACAAAUCCUACUCAGACGUAAUAGAAGAAACAAAGUGGGUUGGACCAGCUUGUGCCCCUGAACUACCUAAGAGAAAAGUCUAACUGUACAAUAAAGGAAACAGAUAACUAGAUCAUUGAAGACCUCUGGCUCAAAACUUUUAAAAAAAAAACUAAAAUAACAAACGCCAACACUCCUCAUUCAUGCUGGGAGCGGAUAAUUAAGCAGUGUCCCCUACUCAUAGGCAACUGUGCCCUCUUUUUCAUUGCUUCUGCAGCCCCCACCUCUCUAAUCAGAGUGCAGAGACAGAGAGAGAGAGAGAGAGAGAGAG
Non-coding RNA from Paralichthys olivaceus (Japanese flounder), 576 nucleotides. The record is from RefSeq and is a predicted model, not a curated record. Lineage: Eukaryota; Metazoa; Chordata; Actinopteri; Pleuronectiformes; Paralichthyidae.